Molecule: RNA transcript, 7205 nt
Organism: Mercenaria mercenaria
Lineage: Eukaryota; Metazoa; Mollusca; Bivalvia; Venerida; Veneridae
Exons: 4
Source: RefSeq, a predicted model, not a curated record
AAUAUGUUUUCUGCAUGGCUGAAUAAAAAAAUACUAUUCGAAAAUACUUUCUGUUUGUGAAAUAUGCGUUAGUUUCAUCUCGGUAUUUUCAACUUCCGGUAUCGAGAAGCCAUUUUGAUCUAUUACGUCAUCUCCCAAAAUCGCGUCUCACUAGGAGGCAUCUCACAAAGGUCAAAGUGCAAGACUGGUAAAACUAUCGUAAGGCUGUGUGUUUUUCCCAACUUGGUUUUCAGUCCAUUUUAUCGAGUAUUUUCCCGUCGUAUUUGCUUGAAAUGAUUUGCUUUGACAUUUAAGACUAAUUUACAUCAUGUUCCCUUCAUAUGUCGUCCAGUUUACAAUAAUUUUCAUAAAAUUUGGUCUUUUCUGAAGCCAGACGACAUAUUGAUUUUCCGACGCAGUUGAUCGCAUACAUGCGCAUCACCCAAUAGAAAAGUCACUGUGGCCUUUUUCCGAUAACGGAAGUUUAAAAGCGAAACCGGAAGUUACGGACAUGUUCCGAAGGAAUUAUCAGUAAACCAUGCUGUAAAAUGUUGUCAGACAUAAAAUAACUGUCAAUGCUCAUACUUCAGCACACAAGUAGUUACCAAUUUCAGUUAUCAGUGGAUUUGGUUGUGCCUUGAUUUUUAAAUUGAGCAGUGCCAGGCUUCUCUGAGUGGUUUAACGUCAAAUACGAUGAGGAAGAAGGGAUAUAUACGUGCAAACUUGCUGAAGAAUAUAUGGAUGGAGAUGUCGAAAUAAUACAAGAAAAUGAGCAGUGAUGUUUGAUACCUGUUUAGAUGACCACCAGCAACUGUUUAGAUGACCACCAGCACUGACCUUCAAGAGCCAUUGUCUAUGCACUAUGAUUGAACUGUUCAUCUGUUAUUCUAUCUUUGGUACAUGUAUAUGAACUCAUCAAAGUUGCAAACCAAAUCAAGUAAAGUUUGGUCAAAAUCACCAACACUUAAAGGACAUGAUCAUCAACACUUAAAGGACAUGUACAUACUUUCUGGACUAACAUGUCCAAUGUAUUUUUGUUGUGAUAUUAUAUGGAUAAUGUGUGUUUUUUAGCUCAACUGUACGAAGUAUGAAGAGCUGUCCUACUCGAAUCCACAUCAGUGUCCUUUUGCAUCCUCACUUUGGUUAAAGUUUUGAUGCACUUUCACUUUAUUGCUGUAAUAACUUGAUAGAUUUCUUUCUGGCUCAAGGUCAAGGUCACAACUGAGGGUCAAAGGUUUGAGCCUUCCAUUUUUUGUCUGCUCUUUAUCUCGUAAUCCCCUUGAAGGAUUCAUAAGAAAGUUGGCUCAAAUGAUCACCUCAUCAAGACAAUGUGCAGAACUCAUGAAUCUGCCAUGCUGGCUCAAGGUCAAGAUCAAUACUUAGGGUCAAAGGUUUGAGCCUUCCAUUUUGUGUCCACUCUGUAUCUCCUUAACCCCAUGGAGGAUUUUCAUCAAACUUUGGUCAAAUGAUCAACUCAUCAAGAACUCAUGAGUUAGCCAUGUCACCUCAAGGUCAAGGUCACAGCACAAGGUCAAAGGUUUGAGCUCUGUAUCUCCUAAACCCCUUGAAGGAUUUUCAUGAAACUUGGGUCAAAUGAUCACCUCAUCAAGACAUUGUUCAGAAUUUAUGAGUCAGUCAUGUCAGUUCAAGUUCAAGGUCACAGCUAAAGGUCAAAGGUUUUCCCUUUCACUGUCCAUAACAGUAGCGGGGAAUUUAGCUGUCUUUCAGACUGCCUUAUUUUAUGAAUUAUGCCCCCUUCUUACUUAAAUUUAAGCUUAUUUUUUUUGGCAUUUUCACUAUAUCUCUGUUAUAACUGAGAGGAUUUAAUUCAAACUUCAAACAGUUAUUCAAUUCGAUCUCUCACUUCAUAUUACAGGGUUCCCACGGUCAGGGAAAAGUCAGGGAAAAACAUAUUUUCAGGGAAUUUUGUAAUUGGUCAGGGAAAUUUGGAAAUUGAGCAAAAGUCAGGGAAAAGUCAGGGAAAUUUGGAAUUAGAGGUCGAGGGUUUAGGAAUCAGUUUGUAAAAAAGUAAAAAGAAUGUAAUAAAAGGCUAUGGCAGUUUCUUAAAUUUUGGUGUAAACCUCGACUUUUACAAAUAUUUCAGUUAGCACAAUAAUAUAUUCUGUAUUUCAUAUCCAAAAAUUAUAGUCUAUCUAUCAUUAAGUCUGUUUAACAAAAGUAGUGUAGAAUUUUAACAGAAAAAUUAAGAUUGUAGAACAUAAUUGUGUUAAGCAAGCUUAUAUCUCUUCUGUUUGCUUCGAACAGUGUCAUGUUUUAUAAUUGCUAUGAAAUGUGUAGUCCUGCAUAGUCAGUGUUGCCUGGUUAAGUUUUAUGUUUAGGUCAGCUUUUCUCCUAAAGUUUAGGCUAAACUGUCAAAGCUAUUGCUUUAAAACUUGCAACACUUGUUCACCAUCAAUUGUUGACUCUGUACAGGAAGAAACAUAACUCCAUCCUGCUUUUUGCAAGAAUUAUGGCCCCUUUUGGAGUUAGAAAAUAUCAGAUUUCUUGGUGAAGUUUUGUGUUUAGAUCAACACUUCUCCUUAACGGUCAAAGCUAUUGCUUUAAAACUUGGAGCAUUUAGUCAUCAUUUUAAAAGUUGAGUCUGCACAGCAAGAACUGUAACUCUACAUUGCUUUUUGCAAGAAUUAUGGCCCCUGUUGGACUUAGAAAAUCAUGGGUAGGACAAUAUUUCUAAUAUACAGUGACAAAAAAAUCAGAUGAGCGUCUGCACCCCUAAGGGGGUGCUCUUGUUAAUCCUAUUAAAUGAUAUGUUUACAUAUUGCAGUUGCAGCAGUUUAGUUAAUUUCAAAUUUUAUUUUUGGUGAAAAUGUUAUUUAUUCUAUACACUAAGUUCCGAAAUUUUUAACUUUUGAAAAUAAACUGGCAUGUCUAAUUGAUUUCAUGUCUGAUCUUAUAUUAUUAUUUUUACAAGGCAAACUGAACUACUGUAAUAUAAAACAAAACAAAUUACUUCUAAAUAUAUUGCAGUAUGCAUGACUGUGUUAUUAAGUCUGCAAGGGGCCUACCACAGUAACAUCAAAUUUUAGUGCAAAAUUGCUAUUUUCUAUAAAAAUCUUGUAUGAAUAAGGGCAAAUUUUUACAGAAUGCCAUACAUUCGUCUGAACUUAUCCAGUAGUAAAACCCAAAACAUGGUCAUAGGUAGUCUUUCAGUGAAUAGUAUGGACCUUUCUUAUUGUCGGUUACAUCUCACUAAAAUAAUAUAGGGUUUGUUUAACUGGAACAAACUUUAUUUACACCAUUGUUAUCAUUAUAACAAGAAAGGUGGUAAAAUUUAGCUGAUACGGAGGAUUGAGGCCAAUAUUUAUAGAUCUAUAGCCAGCUAAACUUCUGUGAACACGGAGCGUUUUGGUCAGGGAAAAUUGGACUUUGGUCAGGGAAAAGUCAGGGAAUUUUAUUUUCUCUGCUUUGUGGGAACCCUGUAUUACACAAGGGCUACAUACUGGACCACAUUGUAUAUAAGCUUUCAGGGUUAAUAGGUUAUCCAUGCAACCAUAGAUCACAUUUAUUGUCGAGCCUGCUAGCGGUGAGCUUGACUUAGUCAUCACUUUUGAUGGGUUGGUGUAUGUGCGUGCGUCUGUGCAUCCAGCGUGGCGUGUGUCCUUUCUAUUUUGUCCAGACCUUAAAUUUAGUCUAUAUAUGGAAUGAAUGUUUACCUCUAUGAGGAGUGCCAUGCGCAAACCUCAUGUUCUUAUCUCAAAGGUCAAGGUAACAGUUGGAGGUCAAAGGUCAAAUUGAAGUCUGUCCAGACUAUUACUUGGACAUGCAUGGACCAAUCUUGUUUAUAUUUUGCAUGCAUAUUUACCUGCAAUGAAGAGUGUCAUGUGCAAACCACAUGUUCUUAUCUAAAAGGCCAAGGUCACGGUUAGAGGUUAAAGGUCAACUUGAAGAUUGUUCGGAGCAUUUCUUCUUCAUGCAUGGUGGGAUUUUGAUGUAACUUAGCAUGAAUGUUCGCAGAUGACACCUUAGGAUUUUGAGAUCAGUAGGUCACAGGUCAAGGUCAUAGUGACGUGGAACAUUUAAAAUGGUUUUCAGACAAUAACUUCAGAAUACUUUGAACUAGGAUAACGAAACUUCAUAGUGAGUUUGGUCAUGUCCAGUAGAUGACCCGUAUUAAUUUUGAGUUCCAAAGAUCAAAGGUCAGAGUGACCCAGAACAUUUAAACAUUUUCCGGACAGUAACUUGAGAACGUUUGGCCCGAGGGUCAUGAAACUGAAAAGGGAGGUUGAUCAUGACCAGCAGAUGACCUGUACUGAUUUUGAGGUCAGUAGGUCAAAGGUCAAGCAAGUUCGGCUUUAACAUUGGCUUAGUUCUGUGACAUAGAGGAUAUUACGUGAGUGUCUUUCAAUAUUGAAUUUAUUAAAUGAGUUGAAUAAAAUAAUAAGAUACGAGGCUCUGCUGAGCAUUUUAUCAAUUUUAUUCAACGAGUUUAAUAAAUUCAGUGUGGAAAGUCACAAAUAUAAUAUUCUUUUUAUCACAUGUUAGCCUUUCCUGUUGAAACAUUAAAAUUUCUACAUUCUUUUCCUAUAUAAAAAAUCAAUUUGACCUCCUAUACUAUAAAUGACGUCGACAUCAAAGCUUUAUUACACUAGUGUAUUAUCAUUUUUUUUUAAUGGCUUUAUUACACUCCCGCGACGUCAAACAUGUGAUAAAAGGUUAUAUUGUGGGGGUAUAAUUCGUCACUCCUGUGAAAACUCUAGUUUUUGUGAUAGCUCAAUGUCUGGCGUCUGUCGUCUGCCUGUCAACAUUUAGCUUGUGUAUGCGAUUUUGUCAGAAUGAUAACCUUGAUGAAAUCUAAGCCAAGUUUGAAAAUGGGUCAUCUCGGGUCAAAAACUAGGUCACUAGGUCAAAUCAAAGGAAUACUUGUGUAUGCAAUAGAGGCUUUAUUUUUUCAAUUGGUCUUCAGAAAAUUUGGUCAGAAUGAUAACCUUGAUGAAAUCUAGGCCAAGUUUGAAAAUGGGUCAUCUGGUUUUAAAAACUAGGUUACUAAAUCAAAUCAAAGAAAAAACUUGUGUAUGUGAUAGACGCUGUAUUUUUCAACUGAUCUUCAUGAAAUUUUGUCAGAAUUAUAACCUUGAAGAAAUCUAGGCAAAGUUUGAAAUGGGUCAUCUAGGGUCAAAAACUAGGUCACUAGGUCAUAUCUAAGAAAAUACUUGUUUAAAAUCAAGACACCACAUCUUUGGUUCAAUCUUAAUGAAAAUUGGCCAGAAUAUUUGUUUCCAUGAAAUCACUAGGUCAAAAUUUUUUACUCUGUUAUGGUGUGUUUCUUGGCACUCUUGUUUACUUUUGCUUUUAAGAAUUCUGAAUUUGCUGUAUGUCAAAUUUAACAUGUCUAUUAGAAAUUCUGUUAUUGUAGAGAUAACACAUUUUCUUUUGUGUUAUAACACCUGCAGAAUCUGAAGGAUUUGGUUGGUACCGGAGUCUGUUGGUGCCAAGGAUUCACGUGGGAUUCUGAUGAUGUUAUAGCACGAAAAGAAAUGCGCGAAUGCUAUUCUAGCAUAAAACGCGUAAAAACUAAGUAAAUGAAUUUCUUGCAUACCGGACUGGGAUUUCUGGUGAUUUCACCAGCGCUUGAAAACUCCCAUCUUACACCCCGGGUAUGAGAUGACUCUCAUGUUGUAAAUGACGUAUAACGAACUACAUAUGUACAGAAGAUGUGUGUAGUAAUAAUAAUGUUUUACGUAAAACAAGAUAAAAAUCAAAUACUUGAUAUUUUCUCUUUGUUCCUUACAACAUAUUCUUGAUUCAAACAACGUCAUUUAACGGAAAUAACAUAACCUUUCACUGCAGGUGACAAAACAAAAACGGAACUAUUACUUCGUUUUCAUCUUUGUAACAUCAUGACGUACUUCCUGUUGACAGACGUAAAGUUCCUGCGCUUUUUCAAUACACUACUAAAAGAAAAAAGUGCUAUAAGAAAAUCAUUUGUUUGAAUUUAUUUAUGUUCACCUGUCACAUAGUGACAAGGUGAGCUUUUGUGAUCACGCUUCGUCCGUCGUCAGUCUAUGCGUGCGUCCAUCCGUCUGAAAGGUGCAGAAUUAGCUAUUUUGACCUUGUCUGCACAAUAGCAGCUUCAUUUAUGUUUUGAUUUUAACAAGACUUGCACACUACUUGUAUCACCAUAAUAUCGCGAUUCCAUUUUAUACGCCGUCUCAAAGGGACAUUUAUGUUAUCGCCUCGGUGUCCGUCUGUAUGUCUGUUGGUUAGCAAUUUCCCUUCCGCUCUGUAACUCCUGAACCCCUUGAAGGAUUUCAAAGAAACCUGACACAAAUGUUCACCUCAUCGAAUCAACGUACAGAGCGCACGUUUCGGAUGGCUCACUUCAAGGUCAAGGUCAUCCUUGGAGGUCAUAUGACUUUGUUUUGUGUGUAUAUUGCUCUGCAUUUGCGUUGCAUUGCAGUGCUCUUGUUUUUAUUUGGCAGAUCCUUCUUUUGUUCGCUUACAAUAAUUUUUAUCUGUACCUUGUAAGAUUUUUUUUUCUUUUUGGUUAAAUUUCUUCCCUUUGUUGUUCCUGUCCUUUGGACUUUAUCAGUCAAAAUUUGGACUUAAUUAUUUUUUCUGAGGAUUUUUCAGUUUCUUCCCUUUGUUGUUCCUGUCCUUUGGGCUUCAUCAGUCAAAAUUUUGCAUGAUACUCAGGUGAGCAAUAUAGGGCCAUCAUGGCCCUCUUGUUUACUAUUAGGGAUUGAAGAUGUUGUGCAAGAAAACGAUUCUUUCACUGGCUGUAGAUGCAGAUGGGAAUAUCCGGCUCUCGGGUAACUGUUUAUGCCGAAACUCGGCAGGAGCCUUGUUACUGCUUAAACCGUUACACUUGAGACUGGAAAUUUCCAUCUGCACCUACGACCAGUGAAAGUAUUUUAUAAUAUUGUCCCUCAACGUGAUGAAAUGUGUGGUAAAGUCUACGUUGUUUUUUCAUGUUAACGUCAUUUCCUUUUGAAUUGUCCUUUUUAGGGCCGUAAUACGUUUAUGUUUUGCCACGGAACGCACGUAGAUAUAAAAAGGUUGCGCGAUAAUCUCUCUGUUAAUAUACGUUUUCUCUCUUGUUAAAACAUCCCCCAAAAAGUGACAAUAACAGCAGUUUUAUGCUAGAAUCUAUUUAAAUGUCUUUCAAAUCUUUGUCAUUUGUAAAAUUAUGUUACAUUGUUAUACAAUAUAAUGUGUGCUAUUUGCAAAAUAAAUAGAAAUGAUAAUAAAAGGCUAUAACUCUUGCA